This 374-nucleotide ribosomal RNA is filed under the name uncultured bacterium. Its description in RNAcentral is "bacterial SSU rRNA". It matches the Rfam family "Bacterial small subunit ribosomal RNA", at positions 523 to 898 of the family's 1533-position model. The record is from RNAcentral.
AUACGUAGGGGGCAAGCGUUGUCCGGAAUUACUGGGCGUAAAGAGUUCGUAGGCGGCCCUGCAAGUCAGAGGUUAAAGGCAUUGGCUCAACCAAUGUAAGCCUUUGAAACUGUAGGGCUUGAGUGCAGGAGAGGAGAGCGGAAUUCCUAGUGUAGCGGUGAAAUGCGUAGAUAUUAGGAGGAACACCAGUGGCGAAGGCGGCUCUCUGGACUGCAACUGACGCUGAGGAACGAAAGCGUGGGUAGCGAACAGGAUUAGAUACCCUGGUAGUCCACGCCGUAAACGAUGAGUGCUAGGUGUCGGGGGCGACAGUCUUCGGUGCCGCAGUUAACACAUUAAGCACUCCGCCUGGGGAGUACGGUCGCAAGACUGAA